AGUACACUUCUUCUUCUCUAAUGAUAGAAGAUUUCUGAAGGCUGAUAUGAGAGAAAAUCUCAAUGGUACUAACCCGUCUGAGGUUUCGCCACAAGUGACCAUAUGGAGCCCAAACUGGGGCAGUACAGUUAUAAGUAAGACGAUCCCCAGCCAUAGUUUGGGGACGAUUUGCAAAUAUUAUGUCAUUUUUGGUGAAACAUUCUUCAACAGCUGAAGGAGAAGAUACAACUAGGAUAGACCUUGAACCAAACUUAAGAGAUAGGAUUGGACCGUACUGCAAUGAUAGGGUCUCUAGUGUUUUGUGGAGUGGCUGUUUCAGGAGGUGAAGGUGGCCGAUUAUUGGUAGAGAAAAUGGACUUGGUGGUAAAUUUUUGUUAUGGUGGCGGUUUAGAAGUUUGAUAAUGAAAACAGUGGAGAGGAUCAAAGCAAGGUAGAAGUAAAAGUUUUCCAUGGCGAAGCAGAGCAAUAGUUU
This is a long non-coding RNA of Quercus robur (English oak), 472 nucleotides long. RefSeq lists it as uncharacterized. The record is from RefSeq and is a predicted model, not a curated record. Lineage: Eukaryota; Viridiplantae; Streptophyta; Magnoliopsida; Fagales; Fagaceae. The transcript has 3 exons.